CUGACAGAAGAGAGUGAGCACACGCGGUGGUUUCCUAGCAUGCGAGCGCCAUGCUUGGAGCUGCGCGUGCUCACCCUCUCUCUGUCAG
Triticum aestivum (bread wheat) is the source of this 88-nucleotide non-coding RNA. The record is from Rfam. NCBI's taxonomy places the organism in Eukaryota, Viridiplantae, Streptophyta, Magnoliopsida, Poales, Poaceae.